This 496-nucleotide ribosomal RNA is filed under the name uncultured bacterium. RNAcentral's name for it is "partial 16S ribosomal RNA". It matches the Rfam family "Bacterial small subunit ribosomal RNA", at positions 28 to 506 of the family's 1533-position model. The record is from RNAcentral.
GAUGAACGCUGGCGGCGUGCCUAAUACAUGCAAGUCGAGCGAACGGACGAGAAGCUUGCUUCUCUGAUGUUAGCGGCGGACGGGUGAGUAACACGUGGAUAACCUACCUAUAAGACUGGGAUAACUUCGGGAAACCGUAGCUAAUACCGGAUAAUAUUUUGAACCGCAUGGUUCAAAAGUGAAAGACGGUCUUGCUGUCACUUAUAGAUGGAUCCGCGCUGCAUUAGCUAGUUGGUAAGGUAACGGCUUACCAAGGCAACGAUGCAUAGCCGACCUGAGAGGGUGAUCGGCCACACUGGAACUGAGACACGGUACAGACUCCUACGGGAGGCAGCAGUAGGGAAUCUUCCGAAAUGGGCGAAAGCCUGACGGAGCAACGCCGCGUGAGUGAUGAAGGUCUUCGGAUCGUAAAACUCUGUUAUUAGGGAAGAACAUAUGUGUAAGUAACUGUGCACAUCUUGACGGUACCUAAGCAGAAAGCCACGGCUAACUACGU